CAGUAGCCGCGGUAAUACGAAGGGGGCUAGCGUUACUCGGAAUUACUGGGCGUAAAGGGCGCGUAGGCGGCACGAUUAGUCAGGCGUGAAAUUCCUGGGCUCAACCUGGGGACUGCGCUUGAUACGGUCGAGCUAGAGGAUGGAAGAGGGUUGUGGAAUUCCCAGUGUAGAGGUGAAAUUCGUAGAUAUUGGGAAGAACACCGGUGGCGAAGGCGGCAACCUGGUCCAUUACUGACGCUGAGGCGCGACAGCGUGGGGAGCAAACAGGAUUAGAGACCCCCGUAGUCCCUGUCUCUUAUAC
Molecule: ribosomal RNA, 301 nt
Filed under: uncultured bacterium
Lineage: Bacteria
Description: partial 16S ribosomal RNA
Rfam family: Bacterial small subunit ribosomal RNA
Source: RNAcentral